RNAcentral lists this ribosomal RNA (300 nucleotides) under uncultured Acidobacteriaceae bacterium. Its description in RNAcentral is "bacterial SSU rRNA". It matches the Rfam family "Bacterial small subunit ribosomal RNA", at positions 114 to 428 of the family's 1533-position model. Lineage: Bacteria; Pseudomonadati; Acidobacteriota; Terriglobia; Terriglobales; Acidobacteriaceae. The record is from RNAcentral.
CACGUGAAUCAUCUACCUCCGAGUGGGGAAUAACUUCGGGAAACCGAGGCUAAUACCGCAUAACACUUACGAGUCAAAGCAGCAAUGCGCUUGGAGAGGAGUUCGCGGCAGAUUAGUUAGUUGGCGGGGUAAUGGCCCACCAAGACGAUGAUCUGUAUCCGGCCUGAGAGGGCGCACGGACACACUGGAACUGAAACACGGUCCAGACUCCUACGGGAGGCAGCAGUGGGGAAUUUUGCGCAAUGGGGGAAACCCUGACGCAGCAACGCCGCGUGGAGGAAGAAAUAUCUUGGUAUGUAA